AGAGUUUGAUCAUGGCUCAGAUUGAACGCUGGCGGCAGGCUUAACACAUGCAAGUCGAGCGGGGGAAGUUGCUUCGGUAACUGACCUAGCGGCGGACGGGUGAGUAAUGCUUAGGAAUCUGCCUAUUAGUGGGGGACAACAUCUCGAAAGGGAUGCUAAUACCGCAUACGUCCUACGGGAGAAAGCAGGGGAUCUUCGGACCUUGCGCUAAUAGAUGAGCCUAAGUCGGAUUAGCUAGUUGGUGGGGUAAAGGCCUACCAAGGCGACGAUCUGUAGCGGGUCUGAGAGGAUGAUCCGCCACACUGGGACUGAGACACGGCCCAGACUCCUACGGGAGGCAGCAGUGGGGAAUAUUGGACAAUGGGGGGAACCCUGAUCCAGCCAUGCCGCGUGUGUGAAGAAGGCCUUUUGGUUGUAAAGCACUUUAAGCGAGGAGGAGGCUACUCUAGUUAAUACCUAGGGAUAGUGGACGUUACUCGCAGAAUAAGCACCGGCUAACUCUGUGCCAGCAGCCGCGGUAAUACAGAGGGUGCAAGCGUUAAUCGGAUUUACUGGGCGUAAAGCGCGCGUAGGUGGCCAAUUAAGUCAAAUGUGAAAUCCCCGAGCUUAACUUGGGAAUUGCAUUCGAUACUGGUUGGCUAGAGUAUGGGAGAGGAUGGUAGAAUUCCAGGUGUAGCGGUGAAAUGCGUAGAGAUCUGGAGGAAUACCGAUGGCGAAGGCAGCCAUCUGGCCUAAUACUGACACUGAGGUGCGAAAGCAUGGGGAGCAAACAGGAUUAGAUACCCUGGUAGUCCAUGCCGUAAACGAUGUCUACUAGCCGUUGGGGCCUUUGAGGCUUUAGUGGCGCAGCUAACGCGAUAAGUAGACCGCCUGGGGAGUACGGUCGCAAGACUAAACUCAAAUGAAUUGACGG
Molecule: ribosomal RNA, 913 nt
Filed under: uncultured bacterium
Lineage: Bacteria
Description: bacterial SSU rRNA
Rfam family: Bacterial small subunit ribosomal RNA
Source: RNAcentral